RNAcentral lists this long non-coding RNA (20192 nucleotides) under Volvox carteri. Its description in RNAcentral is "long non-coding RNA (VCAR_LNC002953)". Lineage: Eukaryota; Viridiplantae; Chlorophyta; Chlorophyceae; Chlamydomonadales; Volvocaceae. The record is from RNAcentral.
AACUAUGUAUGUAUUUAGUUUUAGCGUUUGUUCCCGCUUUGAGGGCGUGAAAUGCCGUGUCAUUGUCCCUAAUAAGUCAUUGUCCCGGCAUUUCAAUUGUCGCCCAUAAGCAUGAACCAAGCCACCAACUCACAAGCUUACAUGCAACAACUAAACUAACACAAGGUCAUCCAUAUGGCACCUUUCCUUGGACAAGGCAUCCUCCAAUUGGCACGCGGUAAAUUGACUUAGAUUGUUUGCCCUGGCAAACUUAUGUACUCCAAUCUCAUCCACUGGACGAUGCUGGCUGUAUUUCUUGCGUGGACGAUCUUGUCGCCGACGGGCGAUGUUGUCCAGGGCAUUCCGGUCAAACUCGUAGGCGCCGACCUCAUUACCGCUGUCCAUGGACAUUGUGUUGGAAGGAUACGUUAAGGUUCAGAUAAAAUGAAGAAAUGAAGAAGCGCUCCUUCAUAGUAUGGAGAUGGUAGAAUCUUCAAGCAACUUUUGAACGACCAGGGAGAGUUGCUGAUAGGCGAAUUUGUAUGAAUCUAUAGAAUUCCUUUAUUCUUUCAAGGUAAAUGAAUGCUUAUGUAUUCGUCCGUUAGUAGCGUGAAGCUUUGAACACUCUUUGUACGGCAGAUUCGGCACAAUGUUUUGCCUCAUUGCGAUGUUGCCUGAAAAUUUUGAACAGAAGGGAUCACUGCUCAUGCUGGUGCAGCAAGACAUGUAAGGAGAUGGCCUGGUCACAAUCCAGCAGUCAUAUAUCGACAACCUCAAGCUAUGACAACUUGUUACAUGUGUCUGUAAUAAAAAAGUGACUUUGCAAUGGUGUGGGGAGCUCUUUGAGUGGUGGGACUGUGGAAAUCCAGUUUGUUUCGCCCGUAACGUUACUUGUUAACUUGUUAACAAGUUUGUUACGGGCGAAACAACGUCCCUCUGAAACGUUUGGAUAUGCCUAUGCAACACAUUUCCUCAAUUUCAUGAACUGCAAGUAUUCUAAUCCAACAUCACCCCAAUCUCAGUGUAAACUAGUCUCCAAAUGUGCCUGCACAAGACUGUCACCCCUGUCACCCGGCAUUCACAUUGCCUUAACCUCCUCAAGCUUGUCGGGGUGUGACACGUGGGCAUGAACCUUGUGACACUGGGCAUUGUCACAAAGAAACUGGUUGCAAUCAGAAAUGCAUUUUUCCUCAUGCCAGGUUACCGACAUCGGUUACCGAUUACUGGGGACGGUUAACGGAUAAUGGUUCGCCCGGUAAUCCUACCGACCGGUUACCCAUCUCGUUAACUGGACCCGUUAGGUCGGAACCGGGCCGGAACCGGCCUGGAGUAUGCCAUUGGGUGUUGGAAAUGACCGACACUCAUAUACCAGUGAAUGGUAGCCACAGUAAUAGGACCCAACGGGGGUCCGGCGCUUUGCUGGUCUUAACAGGUUAUGAGCCCCGAAUGGCGCAUUGCGCUGCCGAGAGGUCGCCGGAUCGAUACCCACUGGCUGUUGCCCAGAGAAUGGGAGACCGGGAUGAGGCACGGGAAGGCCCGGAGCGAGAGAGUGUCGCUCACAGGGGGGUGUUGGAAAUGACCGACACUCAUAUACCAGUGAAUGGUAGCCACAGUAAUAGGACCCAACGGGGGUCCGGCGCUUUGCUGGUCUUAACACGCGUGGUAGGGAAUCUCCGGCAGGUAGGCCGAGAUAUAAGCUACCCGGGCGGGGUGCUCUGGCCAGACACUGACGUAUCACAUCUACUAGGUGUUCAGAGUUCAAGACUUCGUUUCUGUUUUGUAUGCGUCUAUGUACACUAGUGCUUGCCGCUGAUUGUUUUGUACGCAUCUAUGUACGCUAGUGCUUGCCGCUGGGUUGGACUUAUUCCUACUCCGGCGAGGACUGCCAACACCACGCUUUUGCUUAUCCAGUCGACCCGCCAGGUGAGCGACUGCUACACCCUUUCAGAAGCUUUUGAAAGGGCGCCUGUUGAUGACCUUGUCUCCUUACUGUGCCAAUCAGGAGACAUAGAGGUGAAGGACUUGCUUGGUGAAAUGGGAUUGACUCCCUUGAAUGCUGCUUUGGUCGUGUCAAAGAUGUAGUAGUGAUGCUACGGUGUGCACAUAUGGCCUAGAUGGAUUAGAUUGCUGUAACUACAUAUUUACCUUGAGGUUAAGGCAGCCACUCUGAUCACCAGCUUGACUGACCAUUAACCCAAGGGACCGGUAACCAUACUGACUAGUAACCCAACUGACCACUAACCCAACUGACUGGUUAAUGUGUCUUUAACAAUCAUUAGUGGUCAGUAGUGGUCAGUAACCAACAUGUUUAUGCCAUAGGGCAGCGCACAUCACUCUGAAGGCCCUAGACAAGACCACUAUGCAGAAUUGUCCAAUACCCAGACAUAUCCCAUCACUGGCAUCCUCUUACCGUGCUUUGAGAACUUAUGACUCGUAAAGCAUAUUUUCUAUGAUGUUGCAGGAGGUUGGGCUUUUGCAGAGUGGCUUGUUGGGCACAGUGAACUUGGAAACCAGCUGUACGAGCUGGUGCAUGUCAGUGUCACCGCCGUGGUACUUGUCAACCCAUGCCUUGAUCAUAUCGAGUGUUGUCUCCUCUUGCUGCUGCUGGGAGCUGUGGGCACGUGGGUACCGCAGGGAGCACAGCUCACCUGACUUGCCCACCAGGUCUGAAAUCGUCCAGCCCUGCCGUGACAGGUAGGACUGCAACUGAUGCCAGCGCUGCAUCUGGCCCUGUGUCAGCUCAUUGUUCACAGCCUUGUUGAGUAGGGUGCCGAUGCUGCAGCUGCGGGGCCAUUUGUCACCGCGGAAUACGAAUUCAGUUGCCACCUCAUCCAGGAUGUAGGCAACCUGCCCCAGGAGCACUUGCUCGUCACGGCUUUUCUUCUCUGCUAUGAGACUCGCCACCAUUUCCUCCAGAUUUUUGACUGCCUGAUUGAGUGACGAGACCGUCGUCAGAUUCAUCUCGGCAAGGUCCUCUAGAGCUCUCCUGAUGACCGGUGUGCUGAUUUGAACAUCAAUUGCAAGCUUGUACGCCUUGUCCACGAAAGCGGAAACUUCGUCCACGUCCAUUGCCCUGACAAGCUUCUUUAGCUUCACCUCGGCAUCUGCAACAUCAUCGGCUCCCGAUGAAAGACUAUCUAGCAACACAAAGGCGGCGUCCACUCGCGACAUGGUCCCAACCGCCGUUUCGGGGGCGCACCAUGGCUGCUUUUCAGCCUAAAUGUACUGACUAGUUUAUACUACGAGGUCUUGAAAAUUAUCACGGCAAACGCGCAAAAGCCGUCCAAUGGGUGACUUCGUUAAGAGGAUUUAACGAGGGCCAGGUACAGGUCUAAACGAAAGUGUAACAAUAACUUAUUGCGUAUGUGUUGAAAAGAAGAGAAAUAUCUUGUGUGUAUGUAUGGAUGGAUGUUACAAGCUUCAGCGAGCUCGUACGGCCCAAACGAACCCGGAGGCUCAUGAACCGCUUUGACAGCGCCGUCGAUAGGAAAAAAUGAAAAAAAAGUAAACAAGAACACUUUUACGCGAGAAGAAAUCAAAUGGUUAUGAGAAAGAAAAGCGUCAACUUGACUCUGAAACACAAUUGCCUGUUAUCGCUGAGGAAGUUAGGUAACUAGGUGUUCAUGCCGGGAGUGAAACAUCUCAAAAAUUGCCUUCGCAAGACCACGCUGAUCAUCCACUUGCAUGAUAUCACGGAUAUCCGCGUUGACGGGCACAUCGAGGUCCCAGAGCUUCUGAUGCGCAGACACAAUCGCCGGGCAUUCUACCAAGGAAUGUUUCUCAUCCUCAAUAGCUCCAUUGCUACGACACACAGCGCACACGCGAUGCUCCUUAGUCCUGUUGCUCUCACUGUUAACCGCCAAGUCGGAGACACACAAACGAAAAUGGAUUAGGGCACGAUGAUGCGCCGGGGGAAUAUAACCCGCGUACUGCUUUGAUAGCCCCAUCCAGUGCCUAUGACGGCACAUCUUCACGCUGGGCUUCCUACCGUCCAUAGUGAAACUCUAGGGUCCACAGCCAGGAGGGUAGGAUCCGGGCUGGAAUUAGGGAAGAGCUCUGUCGCAGAAUUAGCCUGGAUUUUAUUCUGACAAAAGAAUUGGUCUGUCGAGAUCUUGAAUUGUUCUGGUGGGCUCGCUGGAGGUAUUCGAAUUGCGCUGUGGAGCCUCGGAAUUGGGCUGUGCUGGGCCUGAAUUGGCCUGUCCGGGUGUCGAAUUGGCCUGUCCAAGUCGUUUUUGGCCUAACAGGGUCGAAUUAGCCUGACAGGGUAUCGAAUUGACCUGUUCUGGGUGUCAAAUUGGCUCCGGCUGGCAUCCAAAAGCACAUGACUUUUAAGGAAUUUACAGAAAACUUAGGUUUUUAGGGUUUUAGGGAGUACACACGGGGGGAAAGAAUGGGCUAUUGCAGCGAAGCAACGCCCCAGAUAAGUGCUAAAAACGGUGCAUUAGAACAUGCAUAUUUGAAGCUUAGCCUAACGUUGUCCUUGGCCUCCGACUGCACCCACUACCCUCCAGAGCAUGGCUAGGAGCUUUUCGAGUCGAGGAACGUCCGUCAUACAUCGCUACAAGGUGUGUAUGGAUAGGGAGGGUCGGGGAAUUGGGGCUGGAAGGGUUGGGAGGGUCGUGGCACGGGAGUUGGCGGGGUAUGGGGGUUAGGGAGGGUCGGGGAAUAGGGGUUGGGAGGGUUGGGAGGGUCGGGGCACUGGGGUUGGCGGGGUAUGGGGGAUAGGGAGGGUCGGGGAAUCGGGGCUGGGAGGGUUGGGAGGGUCGUGGCACGGGGGUUGGCGGGGUAUGGGGGUUAGGGAGGGUCGGGGAAUCACAUUUCACAACUCACUUUUCAUGUCCCCCCCUCCCUUUGCCCCCUAAGGCCUGCCACACCAGGGAGGACGUGGAGUGCUGGCACUUCUCCUCAAAGUUACCAAACAGCAUAUAAAGGGCUGCGGGUUCUCUGUCUAGAUCUUUUGCAUGGGGGAUCUUGGAAAACCAGCAAACCUACAUGGCUGGCGUAGCUACACAAACAAAAGCCUUUUUAUCCCCCGGUUUCCGAGCUUAAGUUUUCCCAAAGCUCUCAGCCCAGUGCAGAGAGACUGUACGUCCUGUACUUGAUCAAGUACUGCACACACAGUCUCUCUGCACUGGGCUGUGAGCUUUGGAAAAUAUAAAAGAUACCCGUGGGAGCAUUUUUUAGUCAUGAAGCUUCAGACUUAAGUCAGACUCUUCAUCUAUCUUCAUCUAGCUAUCCAUGCCUACAUACCUAAUCUAUCCAGAUAGACAGACAAACAGACAGAUGGGUAGUUGUAUACAAACAGACAGACAGCCCAAUGGCAUACUCCAGGCCGGUUCCGGCCCGGUUCCGACCUAACGGGUCCAGUUAACGAGAUGGGUAACCGGUCGGUAGGAUUACCGGGCGAACCGUUAUCCGUUAACCGUCCCCAGUAAUCGGUAACCGAUGUCGGUAACCUGGCAUGAGGAAAAAUGCAUUUCUGAUUGCAACCAGUUUCUUUGUGACAAUGCCCAUUGUCACAAGGUUCAUGCCCACGUGUCACACCCCGACAAGCUUAGGAGGUUAAGGCAAUGUGAAUGCCGGGUGACAGGGGUGACAGUCUUGUGCAGGCACAUUUGGAGACUAGUUUACACUGAGAUUGGGGUGAUGUUGGAUUAGAAUACUUGCAGUUCAUGAAAUUGAGGAAAUGUGUUGCAUAGGCAUAUCCAAACGUUUCAGAGGGACGUUGUUUCGCCCGUAACAAACUUGUUACGGGCGAAACAAACUGGAUUUCCACAGUCCCACCACUCAAAGAGCUCCCCACACCAUCGCAAAGUCCCUUUUUUAUUACAGACACAUGUAACGAGUUGUCAUAGCUUGAGAUUGUCGAUAUAUGACUGCUGGAUUGUGACCAGGCCAUCUCCUUACAUGUCUUGCUGCACCAGCAUGAGCAGUGAUCCCUUCUGUUCAAAAUUUUCAGGCAACAUCGCAAUGAGGCAANNNNNNNNNNNNNNNNNNNNNNNNNNNNNNNNNNNNNNNNNNNNNNNNNNNNNNNNNNNNNNNNNNNNNNNNNNNACGGUCGGUAACCGGCAUGUUUAUACCAUAGGGCAGACAGGCAGACACAAGCAGGUGAUGUUGGGGUAACAAAAACACACAGACAACCACACAAUCACAGCACUGUUGGGGCACAUGGUGGAGUUGGGGUAACAUGAAAACAUGCACACACACAGACAGAGAGAGAGACACACACACACACACAGAGAGAGAGAGAGAGAGACACACACACACACACAGAGACACACACAUACACGCAUACAAGCACACAGAGAGAGAGACACACACAUACAUACACACACACAGAGUCUCACACACAUACACACACACACACACACAGUCUCACACACACAGUCACACACACAUACACGCACACAGUCACACACACACACAGUCUCACACAUACAUGUACACACACACACAUUGUAGCAAGCUACAUUUCCCAUAGAAUAUUUCAACGAUUACUCUUGACAAUAACUGUUAAUUCGUUAAUGAUUCGACUCGAGUUUUGUACAUGUUAUGAGUUUCGUCACAUGUCUCGAACAUGGCGGUUGUUCGCAGCAAACCCUUAGAAUACUUCAACGAUUACUCUUGACAAUAACUGUUAUUUCGUUAAUGAUUCGACCCGAGUUUCGUACAUGUUACGAGUUUCGUCACAUGUCUCGAACAUGGCGGUUGUUCGUAGCAAACCUAAUGGGCUGGGGCCCCGGGGCCCCACCGACAUUAUCCUAGUACGGCAGGACCAUGGUAGGGAAUGUCCGGCAGGUAGGCCGAGAUAUAAGCUACCCGGGCGGGGUGCACUGGCCAGACACUGAAGUAUCACGAAUACUAGGUGUUCGGAGUUCAAGUCUCCGCUGCCGCCAUAUAGAUUGUUUUUGUAUACGCGUCUAUGCAGACUAGUGCUUGCCUCGGCGAGGACUGUCAACUCAACGCUUCCGGGUAACAGGCUGUUGGGAGUUAGAGAUUGAUCAACGUCAUGACCAACCUAACAGCUGUGAGCACACAGCACGCACCUGCAGGCUUUGUGACUGCAGGGCGGUUCAAGGCGAAAUGCAUGCCUUUGUGAAAUGCCCGGUGUACACUAGUACACGGGCUAAGUACGAACAUGACCUCGCGUUUCAAGGGUUCAACGUGCACACGAUUUCACUGAGGCCCCACCCCUGGCACUAGCCAGGUUCCCCUCGGAAGUCUGGGAGACCCGGCACGUUGCUCUAUGGCGCUUCAUAUGCUCAAGUGGACGAGGGAGGACAAUGAUGGUCCACCAUGUAACUGCACUUCAAACGAUUUACCGUCCAUGGGCACGCCAGCUUUUAUGGACAACCCCGCACUUGUAUGGAACUUGUAACACACUCAAACACAUACAAAGACAGACACACAGACACACCCACCCACCCAUUUCAGUCAAACACACACACACACACAGACAGACAGACACACGGACAGACAAACAGAGACAGACAAAAGGAGAGACACANNNNNNNNNNNNNNNNNNNNNNNNNNNNNNNNNNNNNNNNNNNNNNNNNNUCUCCGAGCUUAAGUUUUCCCAAAGCUCUCAGCCCAGUGCAGAGAGACUGUACGUCCUGUACUUGAUCAAGUACUGCACAUACAGUCUCUCUGCACUGGGCUGUGAGCUUUGGAAAAUAUAAAAGAUACCCGUGGGAGCAUUUNUUAGUCAUGAAGCUUCAGACUUAAGUCAGACUCUUCAUCUAUCUUCAUCUAGCUAUCCAUGCCUACGUACCUAAUCUAUCGAGAUAGACAGACAAACAGACAGAUGGGUAGUUGUAUACAAACAGACAGACAGACAGGCAGACACAAGCAGGUGAUGUUGGGGUAACAAAAACACACAGACAACCACACAAUCACAGCACUGUUGGGGCACAUGGUGGAGUUGGGGUAACAUGAAAACAUGCACACACACAGACAGAGAGAGAGAGACACACACACACACACACACACAGAGAGAGAGAGACACACACACACACACACAGACACACACACACACACAGAGAGACACACACACACAUAGACACACACACACACACAGAGAGAGACACAUACACGCACACAAGCACACAGAGAGAGAGAGACACACACACAUAGAUACACACACAGAGUCUCACACACACACAGAGUCUCACACACACAGUCACACACACAUACACGCACACAGUCACACACACACAGUCUCACACAUACAUGUACACACACAUUGUAGCAAGCUACAUUUCCCAUAGAAUAUUUCAACGAUUACUCUUGACAAUAACUGUUAAUUCGUUAAUGAUUCGACUCGAGUUUUGUACAUGUUAUGAGUUUCGUCACAUGUCUCGAACAUGGCGGUUGUUCGCAGCAAACCCUUAGAAUACUUCAACGAUUACUCUUGACAAUAACUGUUAUUUCGUUAACGAUUCGACCCGAGUUUCGUACAUGUUACGAGUUUCGUCACAUGUCUCGAAUAUGGCGGUUGUUCGUAGCAAACCUAAUGGGCUGGGGCCCCGGGGCCCCACCGACAUUAUCCUAGUACUGCAGGACCAUGGUAGGGAAUGUCCGGCAGGUAGGCCGAGAUAUAAGCUACCCGGGCGGGGUGCACUGGCCAGACACUGAAGUAUCACGAAUACUAGGUGUUCGGAGUUCAAGUCUCCGCUGCCGCCAUAUAGAUUGUUUUUGUAUACGCGUCUAUGCAGACUAGUGCUUGCCUCGGCGAGGACUGUCAACUCAACGCUUCCGGGUAACAGGCUGUUGGGAGUUAGAGAUUGAUCAACGUCAUGACCAACCUAACAGCUGUGAGCACACAGCACGCACCUGCAGGCUUUGUGACUGCAGGGCGGUUCAAGGCGAAAUGCAUGCCUUUGUGAAAUGCCUGGCGUACACUAGUACACGGGCCAAGUACGAACAUGACCUCGCGUUUCAAGGGUACAACGUGCGCACGAUUUGACUGAGGCCCCACCCCUGGCACUAGCCAGGUUCCCCUCGGAAGUCUGGGAGACCCGGCACGUUGCUCUAUGGCGCUUCAUAUGCUCAAGUGGACGAGGGAGGACAAUGAUGGUCCACCAUGUAACUGCACUUCAAACGAUUUACCGUCCAUGGGCACGCCAGCUUUUAUGUACAACCCCGCACUUGUAUGGAACUUGUAACACUACAGACAGACAGAGACAGACCGACAGACAGAGACAGGCAGACAGACAGACAGACAGACAGACAGACAGACGUCCUUGGUGGAGUCCCAUGGUGGAGUACUCCUCAGGCUACAUCAACGCUUGUGGCACCAGCUCGAUUUCUUCUCUCUCUCUGUCUCUUCUCUCUCUUCUCUCUUUCUGUCUGUGUGUGUAAACACUCAUGUGGUACACACACACGCCCCCCAUGUACACACAAGCAGGCGAUGUUGGGGUAACAAUAAAACACACAACCACCCACACACAACCUCACACGCACACACAUGACUGUUGGGGUACAUGGUAGUGUUGGGGUAACAUGAAACACACGCAAUCACAGUCCUGAUGGGGCACAUGAUGGGGUUGGGGUAACAUGAAAACAUGCACACACACGGCCACAGAACUAUUCGGGUAUAUGUUGGUGUUGGGGUAACAUAAGACACAGAGACACACAGACAGACAGAGACAGAGAGACACAAACUCACACACACAGAGUCACACAGAGUCACACAGAGUCACACACAGUCACACACAGAGGCACAGAGACACACAUACAUAAACAGAGACACACACAGUCAAACGCACACAAAGACAGACACACACAGUCAAACACACACUAAGACAGAGACACAUACAUACACACAAAGACAGAGACACACACACACACACACACAUACACACAUACACACAUACACACAGACAUACUCACACACAUAAACCUGCCUGUCAUGCAUUAUUCUUCUACAUCAUAUCCUGUCAGCCAAACAUCUCAUUUCCGAAUUGGUGGGUGCCCAUCAAACAGAUAGAGCAGCAUCCGAGCAGCAUCUCCUACUUCCUGCUCUGCUGCCGCUGAAAUGUUGCUGCUGCUUCCGAAACGGAGGAUGCUGCCCUGCUGCACCGGAGGCAGGCGGCUAUAGCCCAUGCUACCAUCCCGUCCUUGAUGACCACGCCGGUUCUCAGCACGUGUUCCCCACACAAGAUGAAACGGGUUGAUGCAUGCACGCUCGUCACAGAUGUGCAUCACAUCAUACUGUGUGUGCGGCAGCACAUGUUGUUGUUGAGGUUGCUGCUGGGGUUGUUGCUGCUGCAUAGACGGGACAGCAGACACUGGAUGAUGGUUGGGCAACAGGAGGAAUGGAGGAGGUCCACGGAAGGCCCACAAAAUGAGCCGGCAUGCAUUUGUGGAGCUUGUGUACACAUCAAGAUCCGCACCCCCCUUACUGCAAUAAGCGGCCUUGGUGUUCUUGCAUUUUACCUGUGUCUUCUUGCCCCGCUGCAGCUGUUGCUUCUGGGGUUUGGUGCCCUGCUUCUUGGGGCGGGCAUCCUGCUGCGCCGUCAUUGUGUUCUGCUGCUUCUGCCGCUGCUGCUGCUGCUGCUGCUGCUGCUGCUGGCUUCUGGUGUUUGGACGACGGUGGCUGUUGCUCCCAGGAGCAGCAGCAGCCGCCGCCGCCGCCGCCGCCGCCGCAGCUGCAGCCGCAGCAGCCGCCGCAGCCGCCGCAGCCACAGCAGCAGCAGCAGCGCCACCAAACAGCAGGCGUGCCUUCUUGUUUGGGUAUUCCUUCCGUCGUGGCAUCAUCAUUGCUGGUGGCUGUCGUGUUGGCGGCUUGAUUGUUGUUGUGAUGGUUGCAGGCGGGGUGGUGGGCAGGGUUUCAGCAUUAUGAAUGGUGGAGAUGAUGUGCUGCUGCUGCUGCUGCUGCUGUGGUGGUGGCGGUGGUGGCAGCGACGGUUUGGAGGGGCUUGCUGCUGCUAGUCUACUUUCUGCUCCUACUCCUACUCCUGCUCCUGCUCCUCCGCCUCGAUCUUUAUCCAGCAUCAUCUCCUGCUCCUGCUCCUGCUCCUGCUCCUGCUCCUGCUCCUGCUCCUGCUCCUGCUCCUGCUCCUGCUCCUGCUCCUGCUCCUGCUCCUGCUCCUGCUCCUGCUCCUGCUCCUGCUCCUGCUCCUGCUCCUGCUCCUGCUCCUGCUCCUCCUCCACAGCAGUGCUGCUGAAAGCUCUCCACCUCUCAGCCUGAAGUUCCUCCUCCUCCUCCUCCUCCUCCUCCUCCUCCUCCUCCUCCUCCUCCUCCUCCUCCUCCUCGUCCCCCUCCCGCCAGCACUCUAUAAUAAUAAUAGCACGUGCCGCCUCCUCACGUACGUUUUGCUUUUCCUGCUUCUUCCUGUCCUGCAGCAUGCAGAAAAAAAACGUUAUAUUAUAAUAUAUCUACAUUAAGAAAAAACACAUUUUCUUGUUUCAACAAUUCAACAAUGAUUGUUAUUAUUUAUAAAACAAAAGUUGAAGAAAGCUUAAUACAUCGUCUCACGCUGCUGCUGGACACGUCGAUUAACAUAACGCGUCAGCGAUGAACCCAAAUCGCAAUGAUGAUGAUGCUAUGUGCCCGCUUCCGCUCCCGUACUUAUACUUAUUACUUUUCUUAUUACUGCUAAUUGUAAAAACUUUGAGCGACUCUUCCCGGCAAAAUUUUAAUAACGAUGACGACGACGACGACGACGUCGAGGAUUGACGACCAGACCCCCACCAGCGAGCGCGAUCGCAUCGCAUAUUCUUAUUCUUAUUCUUAUCCUUAUUCUUGUUCUGAUCACAGAGCACAGCAGAGGCGGCACAGUAAAGUUUUAGUGGUGGUGGAUCAUCGGCGGGUUGGCACGCUUGUGCACGCGGCGAGAUUGUUGUUGGUAUAUAUACCGUUAGGGUUAUUAUUAUUACUUUACAUAUGUGCCAAAUCGUGCCAAGUAGAUACAGCAGCAUUGUUUGAUUGUGUUGGUGUAGAUAUGCAUAUAGAGAGAGAUCGUGUGUCCGACGAGAAGGGAAAAGGGAGCAUACACAACAACAACAACAAUAUGUACAACUACUACGUGGGUGCAUCAUCGCCACACCGUCGUGCAUGCGCGUGUCCCAUAAUAUCCACAUACCCGCGGAGCCAUCAUAUGCUGCUGCGUAUGUGUANNNNNNNNNNNNNNNNNNNNNNNNNNNNNNNNNNNNNNNNNNNNNNNNNNUACAUCAUAUCCUGUCAGCCAGCCAAACAACUCAUUUCCGAAUUGGUGGGUGCCCAUCAAACAGAUAGAGCAACAUCCGAGCAGCAUCUCCUACUUCCUGCUCUGCUGCCGCUGAAAUGUUGCUGCUGCUUCCGAAACGGAGGAUGCUGCCCUGCUGCACCGGAGGCAGGCGGCUAUAGCCCAUGCUACCAUCCCGUCCUUGAUGACCACGCCGGUUCUCAGCACAUGUUCCCCACACAAGAUGAAACGGGUUGAUGCAUGCACGCUCGUCACAGAUGUGCAUCGCAUCAUACUGUGUGUGCGGCAGCACAUGUUGUUGUUGAGGUUGCUGCUGGGGUUGUUGCUGCUGCAUAGACGGGACAGCAGACACUGGAUGAUGGUUGGGCAACAGGAGGGAUGGAGGAGGUCCACGGAAGGCCCACAAAAUGAGCCGGCAUGCGUUUGUGGAGCUUGUGUACACAUCAAGAUCCGCACCCCCCUUACUGCAAUAAGCGGCCUUGGUGUUCUUGCAUUUUACCUGUGUCUUCUUGCCCCGCUGCAGCUUUUGCUUCUGGGGUUUGGUGCCCUGAUUCUUGGGGCGGGCAUCCUGCUGCACCGUCAUUGUGUUCUGCUGCUUCUGCUGCUUCUGCUGCUGCUGCUGGCUUCUGGUGUUUGGACGACAGUGGCUGUCGCUCCCAGGAGCAGCAGCAGCAGCAGCAUCCAUGGGCAGCUCUUGUUUUUGCGGCUGCUUCUGGAGUGAUACUAAUUGCCAUGGUCCUGUGAUCAUGACCCGGGGAUAGUCACUGCGAUGCUGCUUGCUGAUGAUAAUGUCGAUCUUUGCACCAGCAGCACCAGCAGCGCCAGCAGCAUCAGCAGCACCAGCAGCACCAGCACCAGCAGCACCAGCAGCACCAGCACCACCUCCACCGUGACCACCACCACCACGACCACCACAACCACCACCACCACAACCACCACCAGCAGCAGCACCGGCAGCAGCACCAGCAGCUGCUGCUGUGGUGCAUUGGAGCACCUGGAAGGGGUUCAUGUGUUUGACAUGAUGGAACGGCUGUACCUCCUGGAUCAUGUCACCGUGAUGUUUGCUGUACACUUGUUCAUGGCCGGGAUAGGAUGUUCGUUCCCCACCCUUUUUGGAGGGGGAGGACUUGCACAUGAAACAACAUGGAGACAUGCUGAGAGCCUCCCUCAUGUUGCAGCAACCGUGCAUCAUCCGCGCUGCCACUGUAGCAGGUGCAGUCGUUGUUGUAGCCAACCUGUUGGUCAUAUUAUCCUCCUCCUCCUUCUCCUCCUCCUCCUCCGCCGCCGCCGCCGCCGCUGCCGCCGCCACCUUCUGCUCCUCCUCCUCCUCACCAUCCUCCUCACCAUCCUCAUCCUCAUAAUCACCAUCAUGAUGUGCAGUAGUAAUGGUGGCACUGCUGCCAGUGGUGCAUUGCUGCUGCUGCUGCUGCUGCUGCUGCUGCUGCUGCUGCUGCUCAUUACUAUAGCGGUAGCAGAUGGGAAGCUGCAGCAGCAUUGCAUUUUGGAUGACCAGGUUGGCAUCCUCAUCUGCAGGGUCGAGUUGCAGUCUUCGAGCAAUAACCUGCGCCCUGUGGUUCCACCCCGGAACAUCUUGUGCAGCUACAAUUCGGAACUUGGGGCGCAGACGGCUGCCAAUAGCUGCAAGGAUGGCAUACGUGCGGCACAGCAGCAUGACAUCGCCAUCGUCGGCAACAGGAGGGUGAUGUCUUGUGUGUGGCACCCAGCUGAGGAUUCCCAACAUAUGGACCCCACAUCUGUACAGCCGCUGCUUGACAUCUUCAUCUGUCCACCUGUGCAACAUAUUGAGAGACAGAUAUACACACACACACACACACACACACACACACAGAGACGGAGAGACGGAGAGACGGAGAGAGGUGUUAUAUAAAAAAACCUACAGGUUAAACAUAUGUAACCCUAAGUCCUAGCGGUAAACAUAGUGUAUGUGUGAAUGUAUGUAUGUGUGUGUGUGUGAAUGUAUGUAUGUGUGUAUGUAUGUGUGUGUGUAAGGAAGAAAGCUAUAAUAUACAGCCUGCUGCCUCUCUAUAUAUCUAUACCUUCUUUGUGGGUCACGGUGGUGGCCUCGGGCAGUGGAUCUGUGGUUGACAACUGCUGGUGGCUGCUUCUUCUUCCACCAUCUGGCAGUAGCACUAGUAGUAGCAGCAGCAGCAGCAGCAGCCGCAGCCGCAGCAGCUGCAGCAGCAGCAGCAGCACCAUCAUCAUCGUCAUCGUCAUCAUCAUCAUCAUCAGCAGCCGCACCCGCAGCAGCAGCCGCCGCUGCCGCAGCUGCCGCCGCCGCCGCAGCCGCCGCCGCCGCCGCAGCAGCAGCAGCACCAAACAGCAGGCGUGCCUUCUUGUUUGGGUAUUCCUUCCGUCGUGGCAUUAUCAUUGCUGGUGGCUGUCGUGUUGGUGGCUUGAUUGUUGUUGUGAUGGUUGCAGGCGGGGUGGUGGGCAGGGUUUCAGCAUUAUGAAUGGUGGAGAUGAUGUGCUGCUGCUGCUGCUGCUGCUGCUGCUGCUGCUGCUGCUGUGGUGGUGGCGGUGGUGGCAGCGACGGUUUGGAGGGGCUUGCUGCUGCUAGUCUACUUCUUUCUGCUCCUACUCCUACUCCUGCUCCUGCUCCUCCGCCUCGAUCUUUAUCCAGCAUCACCUCCUGCUCCUGCUCCUGCUCCUCCUCCCCAGCAGUGCGGCUGCUCUCCACCUCUCAGCCUGAAUCUCCUCCUCCUGCUCCCAAACCUCUUCCUCCUCUUCCCCCUCCCGCCAGCACUCUAUAAUAAUAGCACGUGCCGCCUCACGUACGUCUUGCUUUUCCUGCUUCUUCCUGCAGCAUGCAGAAAAAAAACGAUAUAUUAUUAUAUAUACAUUAAAAAACACAUUUUCUUGUUUCAAUUCAACAAUGAUUGUUAUUAUCAAUAAACCAAAAGUUGAGCUGCACAAGUCGGUAAAUAUAUCACGUCAGCGAACAACCCUGACCGCAACCGCAGUUGUUGCAUCAGCCGUGACUUGAACCCACGUUCACCUAUUGCGCAUUCGUAUUGCAAUUACUACAAUGUCUCAGCACUUAUUAGGCUCACUCACCACUCCUCUCCGGGAGUAGGCGAUGACUUUGACCGGGCAGCGUUAGCCUAUAUCCUAUAACUUUCUUGUGAAUCGCCCUUACUGCCGGCGUGUCCUUUCGAGGACGCUAAAGCUGUUUCUUUGUGCUUUUGUUGCGGUGUAUUGAUUGGUAUUUGUCUUGUUCCGUGGCUCGCGCGCAUUAGACACAUGUCUGUUUCUGCUUCUUCGCGGCUUGUUUUCUACUUGGCGCCUGCUCCAUAAAUAGAAUUUUAAAAACGUCCUGAUAGCUCUCGCUGUGACGGUCUCAUUUCAAUUGUCUGUUUGUCGUCGGCGAGCGGUGAGAAGUAGGGGCGGCGCACUUUAUUACUAAUAAUAAUGACGUAUAGUACGACAAAGCACACAUGAGCAGCACGGCUGCUGUGCUUCUUCUUUUGCGGUUUCCGUCGUCGUUGUUGUUGUUGUUGUGUACCGAUUAUUAUUUUGUUGUUGUUACAUUCAUUAUUGUUGACCCUAAGUAUUCAAGUAAUAAUAUAUAAUGCAUGUGCCGCAGAACAUGAUGAUGAAUGAUGAUGCUAUGUGCCCGCUUCCGCUCCCGUACUUAUACUUAUUACUUUUCUUAUUACUACUACUAAUUGUAAAAACUUUGAGCGACUCUUCCCGGCAAUUUUUAUAACGAUGACGACGACGACGACGACGAGGACGAGGAUGAGGACGAGGAUUGACGACCAGACACCACCACCAGCGAGCGCGAUCGCAUCGCAUAUCAUUAUAUUCUUAUUCUGAUCAUCACAGAGCACAGCAGAGGCGGCACAGCAAAGUUUUAGUGGUGGUGGAUCAUCGGCGUGUUGUGCACGCGGCAUUGUGUUGUGCACGCGGCGAGAUUGUUGUUGGUAUAUAUACCGUUAGGGUUAUUAUUAUUAUUAUUUUACAUAUGUGCCAAAUCGUGCCAAGUUGAUACAGCAGCAUUGUUUGAUUGUGUUGGUGUAUAUAUGCAUAUAGAGAGAUCGUGUGUCCGACGAGAAGGGAAAAGGGAGCAUACACAACAACAACAACAUGUACAACUAUACGUGGGUGCAUCAUCGCCACACCGUCGUGCAUGCGCGUGUCCCAUAUAAUAUCCACAUACCCGCGGAGCCAUCAUAUGCUGCGUAUGUGUACUACUACUAAUAAAGUAGUAUCACGUACAGUACGACAUGUACAACAACCCAACAGACAGACCAACAACAUACAUCGCAAGUGCAGUGCGCGGAUAUACAUACAUACAUACAUACAUACAUACAUACAUACACACACCCACAGUCUAAGUAUUUAAUAAAAACUCUCCCACAGUCUCCCUCGACAUCAUCCGCUCAGUCUCGCCGUCCGUAUCCGUAUCGCCGGUCCCCAUCGCCAUCGUCUCCCGGGGCCGGUCCCUCCCUCCAUAUAGGUAGGUUCUCUAGGUAUAUAAUAUCGUGGUGUACAACAGAGUGUGCACGUGAGCCGUCAUCAACGUAUAUAAGAUACAGCAUACGUGUCUGCACCACAUAGAUAGACAUAUGUACGUGUGCACAUCUCUGAGCAGCCCUGUGCAUGGUCUCCGCUUGAUAAUAGAUGAGGUUGUUAUCAUCACCUAGUUCAUACAUACAUGCAUGCAUACCCUGCUCUGUGAAGAUGACAAAAAAGAGGUAUAGGUAUAGGUACAACUACUACUACUACUACUACUACUACUACUACCACUACUAUCUGGAUUCUUUUGCCUGGGUGGCUGGCAAUAAUAAUUAUAUAUUUCAAAGUUACUCUGCUGCGGCCGCCAUAUGUAUUAUAUAGCAUCAUCCCUAUGGCAUACUCCAGGCCGGUUCCGGCCCGGUUCCGACCUAACGGGUCCAGUUAACGAGAUCGGUAACCGGUCGGUAGGAUUACCGGGCGAACCGUUAUCCGUUAACCGUCCCCAGUAAUCGGUAACCGAUGUCGGUAACCUGGCAUGAGCCAAAAUGAAAUUAAUACUGAGAUAUCUAAGAUGAGAAUGUAGUAUGAGUAAUGCUAAAAAUUACUCAUAGAUAGGUACGAUGACCGUACACACAAAUCGAAAUUGAAAUACAGGAGCCACUAAAUUGUUUGGCUAAAUUACUUUAGCCGUAUAUUGUGAAGACAUUCCAUUUAGCAUCACUGUGUCCCCCUACCAAAAUGGAAGCGUGCUAAAGAACGUUCCUGAGAACGCUAAGAAUGCUAAGAACGGCUUAAGAAUGCUGGUGCUGCUGAGAAUGAUCUUAUGCCAGUCUCAAGCAUUCUUAUGACGGUUUAAAGAAUCGACAAAAGGGUAGGUGUUGGUAGUUGACAGUUUAGCCAGAGGAUCAUUUAGCCUGGCUGCUAAUUGUGUUGCAUGUUACUUCACCACACUUGUGUAUUGUGUAGGCAAAAAGCGCCAACUAAUGGGCCUGCCGGCUGUCCCUCCACAAGGAGAGAAGUACAAUGCGGACAAACUCUUGUUGGAGGUGAAGGAGGCGUUUGGUCAUCAUGACUAUUCAUAGAAGGGCAUGGCUGGACAGGAUACCGCAAAUGCUGGUGAGAUUUUUACCCGCUGAACCUGUUGGCUAUUGUGUGAACAUUUAUGGCAUAUCCACCUCACCAUGCAGCAGGUGUUGUAGUUGAGUGUUUGGGGUGUCACUACCUCGUGCUUUGAAUUAGUAUGCUUUGCAUUAUCAUUUGUAUAUUGUCCUAUGUACUGUAUCACCUCACUAUUGUAUAACACUCUGCAGGUGGGGAGUUGGAGGCCCUAUGGCAUAAACAUGCCGGUUACCGACCGUUNNNNNNNNNNNNNNNNNNNNNNNNNNNNNNNNNNNNNNNNNNNNNNNNNNUUUCAAGGUAAAUGAAUGCUUAUGUAUUCGUCCGUUAGUAGCGUGAAGCUUUGAACACUCUUUGUACGGCAGAUUCGGCACAAUGUUUUGCCUCAUUGCGAUGUUGCCUGAAAUUUUUGAACAGAAGGGAUCACUGCUCAUGCUGGUGCAGCAAGACAUGUAAGGAGAUGGCCUGGUCACAAUCCAGCAGUCAUAUAUCGACAAUCUCAAGCUAUGACAACUUGUUACAUGUGUCUGUAAUAAAAAAGGGACUUUGCGAUGGUGUGGGGAGCUCUUUGAGUGGUGGGACUGUGGAAAUCCAGUUUGUUUCGCCCGUAACAAGUUUGUUACGGGCGAAACAACGUCCCUCUGAAACGUUUGGAUAUGCCUAUGCAACACAUUUCCUCAAUUUCAUGAACUGCAAGUAUUCUAAUCCAACAUCACCCCAAUCUCAGUGUAAACUAGUCUCCAAAUGUGCCUGCACAAGACUGUCACCCCUGUCACCCGGCAUUCACAUUGCCUUAACCUCCUCAAGCUUGUCGGGGUGUGACACGUGGGCAUGAACCUUGUGACAAUGGGCAUUGUCACAAAGAAACUGGUUGCAAUCAGAAAUGCAUUUUUGCUCAUGCCAGGUUACCGACAUCGGUUACCGAUUACUGGGGACGGUUAACGGAUAACGGUUUGCCCGGUAAUCCUACCGACCGGUUACCCAUCUCGUUAACUGGACCCGUUAGGUCGGAACCGGGCCGGAACCGGCCUGGAGUAUGCCGUUGGGAGGUCAACCCCACAGAAGGAGAUGGUGUGCCCGAUAUGGGACCGGAGGUGGACGUGAUGACAGGAACUGUAGGAGAGGAACCGGCGGAUGAUUGGAUGGACGACACUCUUGCCCAGUUGCAUGAACCUAGCCGCCGGCACCUGCUUCCAGAGCCGGCAUUCGCACGGAUACGAAAAGAGACGCGUCUACUGUCAGAGGAUGAGGAGGAGUAUGAGAGUGAGGGUAGUAGCCCGGAGUGCACCCAGCAAGAGGGUGAGGUUGACACAGGGGAGGGGGAGGAGAGUGAGUCCGAAUUGUCUGAGGAGGAAUUGGAUGAGAAGACGGUGGGUGGAAGUGGAAAGCAGCGGAGUGUGCAACAGCACCCUAAGCGCCCAAGUGGUAACAGGCCUGUGGUGAUGGAGCAGUCUGCCAGGGGACAGCCGGCAAAGAGGGUAAAGGCUUCUACCUCUGCUCCAGAGUUAGUGGAUACUGGCGCGUACGGCCUGUGUGUCGAAGGAGCUAAGACCCCCAGCAGGGGCAGAAGCAGGGGGCGAGGCAGCCAGGAGCAAGGGAAAGGGCUUGGAGCAAAGCCCCCCAGGGGCAGGGGCAGGGGCAGGGGCAGGGGCAGGGGCUAGCAUAGCUUGUGUAGCUAGUAUUGCCUUUAAGUUGUUGCAUUUAAGCUUGUGAGUUGGNNNNNNNNNNNNNNNNNNNNNNNNNNNNNNNNNNNNNNNNNNNNNNNNNNCGGCAUGUUUAUGCCAUAGGGAGUAUCCCGGUAGCGCGGGAAGCAUCGUUCGCCAAUAUUAAUUAAAGGCCUCUAACGCUGCAGGAAAAUUUUAGUAGAAGAUUUAGAACUAUGUAUGUGUUAAGUUUUAGCGUUUGUUCCCGCUUUGAGGGCGUGAAAUGCCGUGUCAUUGUCCCUAAUAAGUCAUUGUCCCGGCAUUUCAAUUGUCGCCCAUAAGCAUGAACAAGGCGUGGGCGAUCUUGUCGCCGACGGGCGAUGUUGUCCAGGGCGUUCCGGUCAAACUCGUACGCGCCGACCUCAGUACCGUUGUCCAUGGACAUUGUGUUGGAAGGAUACGUUAAGGUUCAGAUAAAAUGAAGAAAUGAAGAAGCGCUCCUUCAUAGUAUGGAGAUCGUAGAAUCUUCAAGCAACUUUUGAACGACCAGGGAGAGUUGCUGAUAGGCGAAUUUGUAUGAAGCUAUAGAAUUCCUUUAUUCUUUCAAGGUAAAUGAAUGCUUAUGUAUUCGUCCGUUAGUAGCGUGAAGCUUUGAACACUCUUUGUACGGCAGAUUCGGCACAAUGUUUUGCCUCAUUGCGAUGUUGCCUGAAAUUUUUGAACAGAAGGGAUCACUGCUCAUGCUGGUGCAGCAAGACAUGUAAGGAGAUGGCCUGGUCACAAUCCA